RNAcentral lists this ribosomal RNA (498 nucleotides) under uncultured bacterium. Its description in RNAcentral is "partial 16S ribosomal RNA". It matches the Rfam family "Bacterial small subunit ribosomal RNA", at positions 29 to 523 of the family's 1533-position model. The record is from RNAcentral.
AUUGAACGCUGGCGGCAUGCUUUACACAUGCAAGUCGAACGGUAACAGGCCGCAAGGUGCUGACGAGUGGCGAACGGGUGAGUAAUGCAUCGGAACGUGCCCAGUCGUGGGGGAUAACGCAGCGAAAGCUGUGCUAAUACCGCAUACGAUCUAUGGAUGAAAGCGGGGGACCGUAAGGCCUCGCGCGAUUGGAGCGGCCGAUGUCAGAUUAGGUAGUGGGUGGGGUAAAGGCCCACCAAGCCAACGAUCUGUAGCUGGUCCGAGAGGACGACCAACCACACUGGGACUGAGACACGGCCCAGACUCCUACGGGAGGCAGCAGUGGGGAAUUUUGGACAAUGGGCGCAAGCCUGAUCCAGCAAUGCCGCGUGCAGGAAGAAGGCCUUCGGGGUGUAAACUGCUUUUGUACGGAACGAAAAGGUCUGGGUUAAUACCCUGGGCCGAUGACGGUACCGUAAGAAUAAGCACCGGCUAACUACGUGCCAGCAGCCGCGGUAA